AGUGAACGCUGGCGGUAGGCCUAACACAUGCAAGUCGAACGGCAGCACAGUAAGAGCUUGCUCUUACGGGUGGCGAGUGGCGUACGGGUGAGGAAUACAUCGGAAUCUACUUUUUCGUGGGGGAUAACGUAGGGAAACUUACGCUAAUACCGCAUACGACCUACGGGUGAAAGCAGGGGAUCUUCGGACCUUGCGCGAUUGAAUGAGCCGAUGUCGGAUUAGCUAGUUGGCGGGGUAAAGGCCCACCAAGGCGACGAUCCGUAGCUGGUCUGAGAGGAUGAUCAGCCACACUGGAACUGAGACACGGUCCAGACUCCUACGGGAGGCAUCAGUGGGGAAUAUUGGACAAUGGGCGCAAGCCUGAUCCAGCCAUACCGCGUGGGUGAAGAAGGCCUUCGGGUUGUAAAGCCCUUUUGUUGGGAAAGAAAAGCAGCAGGUUAAUACCCCGCUGUUCUGACGGUACCCAAAGAAUAAGCACCGGCUAACUUCGUG
RNAcentral lists this ribosomal RNA (492 nucleotides) under uncultured bacterium. RNAcentral's name for it is "partial 16S ribosomal RNA". It matches the Rfam family "Bacterial small subunit ribosomal RNA", at positions 29 to 507 of the family's 1533-position model. The record is from RNAcentral.